This 180-nucleotide ribosomal RNA is filed under the name Colletotrichum gloeosporioides. Its description in RNAcentral is "5.8S ribosomal RNA". The stretch from base 8 to 161 matches the Rfam family "5.8S ribosomal RNA". Rfam says of the family: 5.8S ribosomal RNA (5.8S rRNA) is a component of the large subunit of the eukaryotic ribosome. It is transcribed by RNA polymerase I as part of the 45S precursor that also contains 18S and 28S rRNA. Functionally, it is thought that 5.8S rRNA may be involved in ribosome translocation. Lineage: Eukaryota; Fungi; Ascomycota; Sordariomycetes; Glomerellales; Glomerellaceae. The record is from RNAcentral.
UAAUCAAAACUUUUAACAACGGAUCUCUUGGUUCUGGCAUCGAUGAAGAACGCAGCGAAAUGCGAUAAGUAAUGUGAAUUGCAGAAUUCAGUGAAUCAUCGAAUCUUUGAACGCACAUUGCGCCCGCCAGCAUUCUGGCGGGCAUGCCUGUUCGAGCGUCAUUUCAACCCUCAAGCUCUG